AGAUUGAACGCUGGCGGCAUGCCUUACACAUGCAAGUCGAACGGCAGCACGGGAGCAAUCCUGGUGGCGAGUGGCGAACGGGUGAGUAAUAUAUCGGAACGUGCCCAGUCGUGGGGGAUAACGCAGCGAAAGCUGUGCUAAUACCGCAUACGAUCUAUGGAUGAAAGCGGGGGAUCGCAAGACCUCGCGCGAUUGGAGCGGCCGAUAUCAGAUUAGCUAGUUGGUGGGUAAAGCCUACCAAGGCGACGAUCUGUAGCUGGUCUGAGAGGACGACCAGCCACACUGGAACUGAGACACGGUCCAGACUCCUACGGGAGGCAGCAGUAGGGGAAUUUUGGGACAACGGGCGCAAGCCUGAUCCAGCAAUGCCGCGUGCAGGAUGAAGGCCUUCGGGUUGUAAACGUGACGUUUUGUACGGAACGAAACGGUUCUACUACUAAUACGAGGGCUAAUGAACGGUACGUAAGAAUUAAGCAACCGGACUAACGUACGU
RNAcentral lists this ribosomal RNA (493 nucleotides) under uncultured soil bacterium. RNAcentral describes it as "bacterial SSU rRNA". It matches the Rfam family "Bacterial small subunit ribosomal RNA", at positions 26 to 506 of the family's 1533-position model. The record is from RNAcentral.